AUGUAGCUAGCUCAGUGGUAGAGUGCUUGCCUUGCAUGCAUGAGGCCCUGGGUUCGAUUCCUCAGCACCACA
Molecule: transfer RNA, 72 nt
Filed under: Dipodomys ordii (Ord's kangaroo rat)
Lineage: Eukaryota; Metazoa; Chordata; Mammalia; Rodentia; Heteromyidae
Rfam family: tRNA
About the family: Transfer RNA (tRNA) molecules are approximately 80 nucleotides in length. Their secondary structure includes four short double-helical elements and three loops (D, anti-codon, and T loops). Further hydrogen bonds mediate the characteristic L-shaped molecular structure. tRNAs have two regions of fundamental functional importance: the anti-codon, which is responsible for specific mRNA codon recognition, and the 3' end, to which the tRNAs corresponding amino acid is attached (by aminoacyl-tRNA synthetases). tRNAs cope with the degeneracy of the genetic code in two manners: having more than one tRNA (with a specific anti-codon) for a particular amino acid; and 'wobble' base-pairing, i.e. permitting non-standard base-pairing at the 3rd anti-codon position.
Source: Rfam by way of RNAcentral